UUUAAAAUCUAUUGAAAUUUUGACCUCAAAUCAGGCAGGAAUACCCGCUGAACUUAAGCAUAUCAAUAAGCGGAGGAAAAGAAACCAACAGGGAUUGCCUUAGUAACUGCGAGUGAAGCGGCAAGAGCUCAAAUUUGAAAUCUGGCAUCCGCCCGAAUUGUAAUUUGUAGAAGCAACUUUUGAAUUAGUCCUUGCAUAUGUUCCUUGGAACAGGACAUCAUAGAGGGUGAGAAUCCCGUUCAUGGUGGGGAGUCUAUUUCUUUGUAAAGUGCUUUCGACGAGUCGAGUUGUUUGGGAAUGCAGCUCUAAGUGGGUGGUAAAUUCCAUCUAAAGCUAAAUAUUGGCGAGAGACCGAUAGCGAACAAGUACAGUGAUGGAAAGAUGAAAAGUACUCCGAAAGGAGAGUGAAAUAGGACGUGAAAUUGUUGAAAGGGAAGUGCUUGAGAUCAGUGAUAGAGUUUAGUGAUCAGCUUUCUUUUUAGUUUGUGCACUUGCUAUUCUCUAGGCCAGCAUCAGUUUGGAAGGUAGGAUAAUUGCAUAGGAAUGUGGCUGUUUCGGCAGUGUUAUAGCCUGUGUCGAUACUACUUGCUAGACUGAGGACCGCGCUUUUGCUAGGAUGUUGGCAUAAUGAUCUUAAGCAGCCCGUCUUGAAACACGGACCAAGGAGUCUAACAACUAUGCGAGUGUUUGGGUGUUAAACCCG
This 703-nucleotide ribosomal RNA is filed under the name Myxozyma neotropica. RNAcentral describes it as "LSU rRNA". It matches the Rfam family "Eukaryotic large subunit ribosomal RNA", at positions 1 to 710 of the family's 3401-position model. The record is from RNAcentral. Lineage: Eukaryota; Fungi; Ascomycota; Lipomycetes; Lipomycetales; Lipomycetaceae.